This 477-nucleotide ribosomal RNA is filed under the name uncultured anaerobic ammonium-oxidizing bacterium. Its description in RNAcentral is "bacterial SSU rRNA". It matches the Rfam family "Bacterial small subunit ribosomal RNA", at positions 365 to 832 of the family's 1533-position model. The record is from RNAcentral.
UUCGCAAUGCCCGAAAGGGUGACGAAGCGACGCCGCGUGCGGGAAGAAGGCCUUCGGGUUGUAAACCGCUGUCGGGAGUUAGGAAGUGCAAGGAUGUUAAUAGCGUUCUUGCUUGACUAAGGCUCCGGAGGAAGCCACGGCUAACUCUGUGCCAGCAGCCGCGGUAAUACAGAGGCGGCAAGCGUUGUUCGGAAUUAUUGGGCGUAAAGAGCACGUAGGCGGCUGUGUAAGUCGGUUGUGAAAGCCUUCCGCUCAACGGGAGAACAGCAUCCGAUACUGCAUGGCUUGAGUGUGGGAGGGGAGAGUGGAACUUCUGGUGGAGCGGUGAAAUGCGUAGAUAUCAGAAGGAACGCCGGCGGCGAAAGCGGCUCUCUGGCCCAUAACUGACGCUGAGUGUGCGAAAGCUAGGGGAGCAAACGGGAUUAGAUACCCCGGUAGUCCUAGCCGUAAACGAUGGGCACUAAGUAGAGGGGUUUU